UAGCAUCGCUGGGAGUUGUAGUCCCCGUAGUCCAGGAGCGUGCGUGAGUGCGUGCGUUCGGAGCCCCGGACCUUCCCCUGCCCAUCCCGGCUUCGGCUUUGAAACUCAGCAAAGAAGUGGAACCCAUUGAAAACCAUCUGUAGAGGUGACCACCGACUCCUGAAAUCAGUGGCUUUAGAGCACUAUCAAGACCAGUUGAUCUUCACAACAACUGUGAGAGGUAGAUAUUAUUACUGUACUCGUUUUACGGUUGAAGAAACUGGGGCGGAAAUUAAGGGAUUGCCCUACGAUCUCAAAGCUAGUAAGUAUCUGAGACAGAAUUUGAACUCUUUUCUUUCUGACUGCUUUGCACCAUGACACUAGUGACUUCUGGGCUAAGAGGAUCUAAUUUAAUUUGCUCAUUUUAUAGAUGAUAAAACUGAGGCUCAGAGAGAUUAGUGAAAGGUCAUAUAAUUGUUUCUCAACCAAUUAAUAGUGAAAUGUAGCAAAUUUUUGUUCAUUGAAGUAAUUUAAUUCAAAAUUUAAAAUCAGCAGCAACAACAACAGUAAAGGAUUUGGGUAGAGUAUACCCCCCCCCCCAGUAAAGGGAUUGGGCAUAUUACCAACUCUGUCCCACCUCAUGGAUUCCAUGUUUAGUUUUGUUAAAAUACUUCUUUCCUUCAUUAUUUUUGAACUUUUUUCACAGAGGACAACUCUGAG
Molecule: long non-coding RNA, 699 nt
Organism: Sarcophilus harrisii (Tasmanian devil)
Lineage: Eukaryota; Metazoa; Chordata; Mammalia; Dasyuromorphia; Dasyuridae
Exons: 4
Source: RefSeq, a predicted model, not a curated record